This 1545-nucleotide ribosomal RNA is filed under the name Salmonella enterica. RNAcentral's name for it is "partial 23S ribosomal RNA". It matches the Rfam family "Bacterial large subunit ribosomal RNA", at positions 711 to 2238 of the family's 2925-position model. RNAcentral also lists the same sequence under 1 other name. The record is from RNAcentral. Lineage: Bacteria; Pseudomonadati; Pseudomonadota; Gammaproteobacteria; Enterobacterales; Enterobacteriaceae.
AGACCCGAAACCCGGUGAUCUAGCCAUGGGCAGGUUGAAGGUUGGGUAACACUAACUGGAGGACCGAACCGACUAAUGUUGAAAAAUUAGCGGAUGACCUGUGGCUGGGGGUGAAAGGCCAAUCAAACCGGGAGAUAGCUGGUUCUCCCCGAAAGCUAUUUAGGUAGCGCCUCGUGAAUUCAUCUCCGGGGGUAGAGCACUGUUUCGGCUAGGGGGCCAUCCCGGCUUACCAACCCGAUGCAAACUGCGAAUACCGGAGAAUGUUAUCACGGGAGACACACGGCGGGUGCUAACGUCCGUCGUGAAGAGGGAAACAACCCAGACCGCCAGCUAAGGUCCCAAAGUCAUGGUUAAGUGGGAAACGAUGUGGGAAGGCCCAGACAGCCAGGAUGUUGGCUUAGAAGCAGCCAUCAUUUAAAGAAAGCGUAAUAGCUCACUGGUCGAGUCGGCCUGCGCGGAAGAUGUAACGGGGCUAAACCAUGCACCGAAGCUGCGGCAGCGACGCUGAUGCGUUGUUGGGUAGGGGAGCGUUCUGUAAGCCUGUGAAGGUGUGUCGUGAGGCAUGCUGGAGGUAUCAGAAGUGCGAAUGCUGACAUAAGUAACGAUAAAGCGGGUGAAAAGCCCGCUCGCCGGAAGACCAAGGGUUCCUGUCCAACGUUAAUCGGGGCAGGGUGAGUCGACCCCUAAGGCGAGGCCGAAAGGCGUAGUCGAUGGGAAACGGGUUAAUAUUCCCGUACUUGGUGUUACUGCGAAGGGGGGACGGAGAAGGCUAUGUUGGCCGGGCGACGGUUGUCCCGGUUUAAGCGUGUAGGCUGGUUUUCCAGGCAAAUCCGGAAAAUCAAGGCUGAGGCGUGACGACGAGGCACUACGGUGCUGAAGCAACAAAUGCCCUGCUUCCAGGAAAAGCCUCUAAGCAUCAGGUAACAUCAAAUCGUACCCCAAACCGACACAGGUGGUCAGGUAGAGAAUACCAAGGCGCUUGAGAGAACUCGGGUGAAGGAACUAGGCAAAAUGGUGCCGUAACUUCGGGAGAAGGCACGCUGACACGUAGGUGAAGUGAUUUACUCAUGGAGCUGAAGUCAGUCGAAGAUACCAGCUGGCUGCAACUGUUUAUUAAAAACACAGCACUGUGCAAACACGAAAGUGGACGUAUACGGUGUGACGCCUGCCCGGUGCCGGAAGGUUAAUUGAUGGGGUCAGCGCAAGCGAAGCUCCUGAUCGAAGCCCCGGUAAACGGCGGCCGUAACUAUAACGGUCCUAAGGUAGCGAAAUUCCUUGUCGGGUAAGUUCCGACCUGCACGAAUGGCGUAAUGAUGGCCAGGCUGUCUCCACCCGAGACUCAGUGAAAUUGAACUCGCUGUGAAGAUGCAGUGUACCCGCGGCAAGACGGAAAGACCCCGUGAACCUUUACUAUAGCUUGACACUGAACAUUGAGCCUUGAUGUGUAGGAUAGGUGGGAGGCUUUGAAGUGUGGACGCCAGUCUGCAUGGAGCCGACCUUGAAAUACCACCCUUUAAUGUUUGAUGUUCUAACGUGGACCCGUUA